AGAGUUUGAUCCUGGCUCAGAAUCAACGCUGGCGGCGCGCUUAACACAUGCAAGUCGAACGAGAAAGUGGAGCAAUCCAUGAGUAAAGUGGCGUACGGGUGAGUAACACGUGGGUAUCCGCCUCUGGGUGGGGAAUAACUCUGGGAAACCGGAGCUAAUACCGCAUAAGCCCGCAAGGGGAAAGGCGCAAGUCGCCGAGAGAGGAGCCCGCGGCCGAUUAGCUUGUUGGUGGGGUAAAGGCUCACCAAGGCAGAGAUCGGUAGCCGGCCUGAGGGGGCACACGGCCACACUGGCACUGAAACACGGGCCAGACUCCUACGGGAGGCAGCAGUGGGGAAUCUUGCACAAUGGGGGCAACCCUGAUGCAGCGACGCCGCGUGAGCGAUGAAGCCCUUCGGGGUGUAAAGCUCUUUCGGCAGGGACGAUGAUGACGGUACCUGAAGAAGAAGCUGCGGCUAACUACGUGCCAGCAGCCGCGGUAAUACGUAGGCAGCGAGCGUUGUUCGGAGUUACUGGGCGUAAAGAGUGCGUAGGCGGUGGCCCAAGUCUGGUGUGAAAUCUCCCGGCUCAACUGGGAGGGUGCGCCGGAAACUGGGCGACUUGAGUGCCGGAGAGGCAGGCGGAAUUCCUGGUGUAGCGGUGAAAUGCGUAGAUAUCAGGAGGAACACCCGCGGUGUAGACGGCCUGCUGGACGGUCACUGACGCUGAGGCACGAAAGCGUGGGUAGCAAACAGGAUUAGAUACCCUGGUAGUCC
RNAcentral lists this ribosomal RNA (755 nucleotides) under uncultured bacterium. Its description in RNAcentral is "bacterial SSU rRNA". It matches the Rfam family "Bacterial small subunit ribosomal RNA", at positions 8 to 796 of the family's 1533-position model. The record is from RNAcentral.